GCCAAACAGCUAGCUUAACAAAUUUAAUAACUAAACAAUAUAGAUAAAACAACAAGACCCCUAAAAAAUAAACUAAACCAUUUUUCCACCUUAGUACGGGAGACGGAAAGGGCCACUCUUAAGCGAUAGAAAAAGUACCGCAAGGGAAAGCUGAAAAAGAAAUGAAACAACCCAUACAAGCGACACAAAGCAGAGACACAACCUCGUACCUUUUGCAUCAUGAUUUAGCCAGAACACCCAAGCAAAGAGACCUUUAGUUUGAUACCCCGAAACCAAGUGAGCUACCCCGGGCCCGCCAACAUGGGCCAACCCGUCUCUGUGGCAAAAGAGUGGGGAGAGCCCCGGGUAGAGGUGAUAGACCUACCGAACUUGGUGAUAGCUGGUUGUCUGGGAAAUGAAUAGAAGUUCAGCCUCGUACCCCUUAAGUUAAAUAAGAAAUACUCUAAUUUAACACAAAAAGAGAGACACGAGAGUUAAUCAGAGGGGGUACAGCCCCUUUGAUAAAGAAUACAAUCUUACCAGGAGGAUAAGGAUCACACUUAACAAGACACGUCGUCUCAGUGGGCCCAAAAGCAGCCAUUUGAUCAGAAAGCGUUAAAGCUCAAACGACACAAAGUUUAUUAUUUCGAUAAACAAUUCAACUCCCCUAAAACUACCAGACUACUCCAUGCCAACAUGGAAGAAACUAUGCUAGAAUGAGUAACAAGGGGGCCACGGCCCCCUCCCAGCACAAGUGUAAGCCAGACCGGACCCACCACUGGCAAUUAACGAACCCAAAAAAAGAGGGAAGUAUGAAAGACAAAAAAAUCAAGAAAACCCCAUAUGCUAGUAAUCGUUAACCCCACACUGGAGUGCCCACAGGAAAGACUAAAAGAAAAGGAAGGAACUCGGCAAACACAAGCCUCGCCUGUUUACCAAAAACAUCGCCUCCUGCAAACCCCGAAGUAUAGGAGGUCCAGCCUGCCCAGUGACCACAAGUUUAACGGCCGCGGUAUUUUGACCGUGCAAAGGUAGCGCAAUCACUUGUCUUUUAAAUGAAGACCUGUAUGAAUGGCUAAACGAGGGCUUAACUGUCUCCCCUUUCAAGUCAGUGAAAUUGAUCUGCCCGUGCAGAAGCGGACAUAAACCUACAAGACGAGAAGACCCUUUGGAGCUUAAGGUACAAACCCAAUCACAUCAAGCAACCACAUAAACGGCACAAAAUUAGUGAACACUGGAAUUUUACCUUCGGUUGGGGCGACCACGGAGAAAAAAAGAUCCUCCGAGCGGACUGAGCCAACAAGCUUAAAACCAAGAAAGACAUUUCUAAGUCACAGAAAAUCUGACCCAAUAUGAUCCGACCUACGAGGCCGAUCAACGAACCAAGUUACCCUAGGGAUAACAGCGCAAUCCUCUCCCAGAGUUCAUAUCGACGAGGGGGUUUACGACCUCGAUGUUGGAUCAGGACAUCCUAAUGGUGCAGCCGCUAUUAAGGGUUCGUUUGUUCAACGAUUAAAGUCCUACGUGAUCUGAGUUCAGACCGGAGCAAUCCAGGUCAGUUUCUAUCUGUAACGUUACUUUUCCUAGUACGAAAGGACCGGAAAAGAAGGGCCAACACUAAAAGUGCGCCCUACCCCUAAUUAAUGAAGCCAACUAAAUUAAACAAAGGGAGAACCCCCUCUACUGCCAAAAUAAGGCCAC
RNAcentral lists this ribosomal RNA (1680 nucleotides) under Vanmanenia stenosoma. Its description in RNAcentral is "16S ribosomal RNA". It matches the Rfam family "Bacterial large subunit ribosomal RNA". The record is from RNAcentral. Lineage: Eukaryota; Metazoa; Chordata; Actinopteri; Cypriniformes; Gastromyzontidae.